GAUGAACGCUGGCGGCGUGCCUAACACAUGCAAGUCGAACGGACGAGAAGAGCUUGCUCUUCGAGUUAGUGGCGGACGGGUGAGUAAUGUAUGAGCAACCUGCCUUUCAGAGGGGGACAACAGUUGGAAACGACUGCUAAUACCGCAUAAUGUACCGAGGGGGCAUCCCCAUGGUACCAAAGGAGCAAUCCGCUGAAAGAUGGGCUCAUAUCUGAUUAGUUAGUUGGUGGGGUAACGGCUCACCAAGACUGCGAUCAGUAGCCGGACUGAGAGGUUGAACGGCCACAUUGGGACUGAGAUACGGCCCAGACUCCUACGGGAGGCAGCAGUGGGGAAUAUUGGGCAAUGGGCG
RNAcentral lists this ribosomal RNA (352 nucleotides) under uncultured bacterium. RNAcentral's name for it is "bacterial SSU rRNA". It matches the Rfam family "Bacterial small subunit ribosomal RNA", at positions 28 to 377 of the family's 1533-position model. The record is from RNAcentral.